Acanthosepion pharaonis is the source of this 113-nucleotide non-coding RNA. The record is from the annotation of a GenBank genome assembly. Lineage: Eukaryota; Metazoa; Mollusca; Cephalopoda; Sepiida; Sepiidae.
UAUGGCCAUAUCACAUUAAAACACAGGUUCCCGUCCGAUCACCGAAUUUAAGCAACGUCGAGCCUGGUUAAUACCUAGACGGGUGACCGUUUGGGAAUACCAGGUGCUGUAAG